Molecule: ribosomal RNA, 424 nt
Filed under: uncultured bacterium
Lineage: Bacteria
Description: bacterial SSU rRNA
Rfam family: Bacterial small subunit ribosomal RNA
Source: RNAcentral
GGAAUUGUUCGCAAUGGGCGCAAGCCUGACGACGCAACGCCGCGUGGAGGAUGAAGGUCUUCGGAUUGUAAACUCCUGUUGUUCGGGACGAACAUCUUCCGGGAUAACACCCUGGAGGACUGACGGUACCGGUUGAGGAAGCCACGGCUAACUACGUGCCAGCAGCCGCGGUAAUACGUAGGUGGCAAGCGUUGUCCGGAUUUAUUGGGUUUAAAGGGUGCGUAGGCGGCCCUGUAAGUCAGUGCUGAAAUAUCCCAGCUUAACUGGGAGGGUGGCAUUGAUACUGCGGGGCUAGAGUACAGAUGAGGUAGGCGGAAUUGACGGUGUAGCGGUGAAAUGCUUAGAUAUCGUCAAGAACACCUAUAGCGAAGGCAGCUUACUAGGCUGUAACUGACGCUGAGGCACGAAAGUGUGGGGAUCAAAC